CGGGAAGUGGCGCAGUUGGUUAGCGCACCACGUUAGGGACGUGGGGGCCGUCCGUUCGAGUCGGAUCUUCCCGA
Molecule: transfer RNA, 74 nt
Filed under: Bacteroidales bacterium
Lineage: Bacteria; Pseudomonadati; Bacteroidota; Bacteroidia; Bacteroidales
Also listed under: 1 other name
Description: tRNA-Pro
Source: RNAcentral